GGAAGCAGACUCUUCUGGAAGCAGCGAGGAACAUGUUCUCCACCUGCGAGGCAGCUAAGGCGCCUCUGAGGCUCUCAGCAGGACCAAAGUGUUGGCUAGCAGCUGCCAGGAGUCCCACAGGGCGACAACACCAAGCGUCAGAGGAAACCAACCUGCAUGUUUACUGCUGAGGUCUAUUAAAAGUUUACAAGGUCCUGGAAAGAGGUCGCUUCUUUUUAGCCGCGGCGCUGCUGAAUAAGGGCUGAAGGAGACCUGCUCUCUGAGUAGAAAACAACGUUUGUGUUUGAGCAACAGCUCUGCCGGCUA
Molecule: long non-coding RNA, 306 nt
Organism: Fundulus heteroclitus (mummichog)
Lineage: Eukaryota; Metazoa; Chordata; Actinopteri; Cyprinodontiformes; Fundulidae
Exons: 2
Source: RefSeq, a predicted model, not a curated record